AACCUACACCACAGCUCAUGGCAAUGCCGGAUCGUUAACCCACUGAGCAGGGGCAGGGACCGAACCCGCAACCUCAUGGUUCCUAGUCGGAUUCGUUAACCACUGCGCCACGACGGGAACUCCUAUUAUAGCUUUUCUAAUGGGUAUAUUCCACAAUAGUAUCUCAUUGUGAUUUUAAUUUGCAUUUCUCUAAAGCCCAAUGAUCCUGAACACAUUUUCAUGUCCUUAUUAGUUAUUUGGAUGUCUCUGGUGAAAUGUCUAUUCAGGCCUUUUGUAUGUUUUUAAAUAAGGUUAUUGUCGAAUUAUGAGAGUUCUUUGUAUACGCUAGAUACAGGUCUUUCAUCAGAUAUAUCAUCUGCAGUAUUUUCUUCUAGCCAGUGGCUUGUUUUUUCUUUCUUUUUUUUUUUCUUUUUAGGGCCAAAUCCAAAGCAUAUGAAAGUUACCAGGCUAGAAGUCGAAUUGGAGCUGUAGCUCCUGGCCUUCACCACAGCCACAGCAAUGGGGUUUCUGAGCCGCAUCUGUGACCUACACCACAGCUGAUGGCAACACCGGAUUCUUUAACCCACUGAGCGAGGCCAGGGAUCGAACCAGCACCCUCAUGGAUACUAGUCAGAUUCAUUACUACUGAGACAUGAUAGGGACUUCCUUCAUUUCCUUUUUGUUUUUCGUCUGAGCCUGCAGCACGUGGAAGUUCCUAGGCCACGGAUCAUUAGUUCACCAUUAAUCUAAGUGUUUUUUUCUGGUCUGUUAAUCUACAUUCCUAUCUUUUAACAAUACUAUGUUCUCUUGAUUACUUUAGGGCUUUCUAGUAAGUUUUGAAAUCUGUAAGUCUUUCAACUUUAUUCUUUUUCAAAAUUGUUUUGGUUCUCCCAGGUCCUUUACAUUUCCAUCAGCUUGUCAACUUCUACAAAGAAGCCUACUAGGGUUUGGGUAAGAAUUACAUUGAAACUAUAUAUCAAUUUGGGAAAAAUUAUCAUCUUACUAAUUACUUAUUGGAGUUCCCUGGCGGUUCAGAGGGUGAAGGAUCUGGCAUUGUCACUGCUGUGGCACAGGUUUGAUCUCUGGCCUGGGAACUUUUGUUUGGCAAAGUGGCCAAACAAAGCAAUUACUUCUUUAAUUUCUUCUUCUUUUUUUUUUUUUUUUCCUGGGAACCUCCUUAUGCUGAGGGUGUGGCCCUGAAAAAAAAAAAAAAGACAAAUUUAGAAAUUAUUAAUUUUGACAAUUAUGUUUAUAUUCUUUGCAAUUGUAUUCUUUCUGAAGCUCAGAUUGUCCCAUCUCUGGACAGUGGGAGUCCCUUCAAGUUGAUUUCUGAAUCCUUUGGCACAGCCUCAGUAGUUUUGUUUUUUGAAGGUUUGGAUGGUUUUCCAUAUUUAAAAUAAGACUUAGUAUAUUUUUUUUCUUCUUUCUUUUUGGCCAUGCCCACUGGCAUGCAGAAAUUCCCAUCUAGGGGUCAGACCUGCGUACCAUAGCAGUGACAAUACCAGAUCCCAAUUUUAUGAUUUUUUUUUUUUCUUUUUUAGGGUUUCACCCUCAGCAUAAGGAAGUUCCCAAGCUAGGGGUUGAAUCAGAGGUGUAGCUGCCAGCCUAGGCCAUAGCCACAGCAACACGGGAAUCUGAGCUGCGUCUUCAACCUACACUACAGCUCAUGGGAAUUCCUGAUCCCUGACCCACUGAGCCAGGCCAGGGAUCGAACCCGCAUUCUCACGUAUACUAGUCGGAUUAGUUUCCACUGCACCACAAUGGGAACUCCCCCAAUUUUAUGAUUUUUUUUUUAAUUUAUUUAUUUUUUUGUCUUUUGUCUUUUGUUGUUGCUAUUUCUUGGGCCGCUCCCGCGGUAUAUGGAGGUUCCCAGGCUAGGGGUCGCAUCGGAGCUGUAGGCACCGGCCUACGCCAGAGCCACAGCAACGUGGGAUCCGAGCCGCGUCUGCAACCUACACCACAGCUCACGGCAACGCCGGAUCGUUAACCCACUGAGCAAGGGCAGGGACCGAACCCGCAACCUCAUGGUUCCUAGUCGGAUUCGUUAACCACUGCGCCACGACGGGAACUCCCAAUUUUAUGAUUUUUUUUUUCUUUUUUGUCUUUUUGCCUUUUCUAGGGCUGCUCCCGUGGCAUAUGGAGGUUCCCAGGCUAAAGGUCAAAUCAGAGCUAUAGCCAUUGGCGUACGCCAGAGCCAAAGCAACGCUGGAUCUGAGCUGCAUCUGCAACCUACACCACAGCUUGCGGCAAGGCCGGAUCCUUAACCCACUGAGCAAGGCCAGGGAUCGAACCCACAACCUCAUGAUUCCUAGUCGGAUUCAUUAACCACUGAGCCACGAUGGAAACUCCAACCCAAUUUUAUUAUUUUGAUGUUAUUUUUUUUUAAUUUUUUUAAUUUUUUUUUGUCUUUUGUUGUUGUUGUUGUUGUUGUUGCUAUCUCUUGGGCCGCUUCCGCGGCAUAUGGAGGUUCCCAGGCUAGGGGUUGAAUCGGAGCUGUAGCCACCGGCCUACGCCAGAGCCACAGCAACGCGGGAUCCGAGGCACGUCUGCAACCUACACCACAGCUCACGGCAACGCCGGAUUGUUAACCCACUGAGCAAGGGCAGGGACCGAACCCGCAACCUCAUGGUUCCUAGUCGGAUUCGUUAACCACUGCGCCACGACGGGAACUCCCUGAUGUUAUGUUUUUAAAGGUGCUCAAUAAAACUUCAAAUCUCAAAAUCAGAAGAUCACAAAUUUAAGGUGUGCAGUAAAACAACCCCAGUGGUCUUUGAUAGUAGCUUCCUUGCUUACUGGAAUGAAUGUGCCUUGGACAUGUUGCCAUUGUGUCUUUGGAAUAUAUUCCUUGAAGUAGAACUGUUAGAUUGAAGGGUAAAAGCAUAUGCAAUUUUGCUAAAUAGUGCAAAAGGAGUUAUGCUGUUUUGCAUUUCCACAAUAUAUGGCAGCCUUUUUACCACAAUUUCUUCAAUGGUUUGUGUUAAGCCUUUGGAUUUUUGCUAGUCUAGUGGAUCAGAAAUGGUAUCUCUAAGUAGUUUUAAUUUUAGCUUUUUUUUUUUUUUUUAUGGCCACACCCUUGGCAUAUGGAAGUUCGCAGGCCAGGGAUUGAAUCUGAGCCUCAGCUGUGACUUACACCGCAGCUGCGGCAAUGCUGGAUUCUUUUUUUUUUUUUUUUUUUUGUCUUUUUGUCUUUUGUUGUUGCUAUUUCUUGGGCCGCUCCCGCGGCAUAUGGAGGUUCCCAGGCUAGGGGUUGAAUCGGAGCUGUAGCCACCGGCCUAUGCCAGAGCCACAGCAACGCGGGAUCCGAGCCGCGUCUGCAACCUACACCACAGCUCACGGCAACGCCGGAUCGUUAACCCACUGAGCAAGGGCAGGGACCGAACCCGAGACCUCAUGGUUCCUAGUCGGAUUCGUUAACCACUGCGCCACGACGGGAACUCCCAAUGCUGGAUUCUUUUAACCCACAAUUCUGGGCCCAGGAUUGAACCGUGCCUCCACAGUGACCCAAGCUACUGUAGUGGGUUUCUUAACCCAGCAUGCAACAGUGGGAACUCCUAAUUUUGGUAUAUUUUUUUGUUUAACAGCACAUUUACUAAGUCAAUGGUAGUGAGUUUAUAUUAACAUAUAAAGAAAGAAAUUUGUCAUUAGACAUUGAAAAUUUAAUGAGUUGGCUCUGAACCUCAAGCUGCAGGUUAUUUACUUAGAUUUUUAGUGAGGAAUAAGAUGGAUUUAUUUUGUUUUGUUUUACUUUUUUAGGGCUGCAUUCUGUGGCAUAUGGAAGUUCCAAGGCUAGGGGUCUAAUGGGACCUGCAGCUGCCAACCUAUGUCAAAGCCACAGUAAUGUCAGACCCGAGCUGGGUCUGCGACUUAUACCACAGCUCACGGCAACACCAGAUCCUUUAACCCACCAAGUGAGGCCAGGGAUUGAACCCACAUCCUCAUGGAUACUAGUCGGAUUCUUAAUCCACUGAGCUACAACAGGAACUCCCUGUUUGUUCUUUGUUUGGGGUUUUUUUGUGUGUUUUUUGCCUCACCCGCAGCGUACAGAAAUUCCAGGGCCAGGGAUUGAACCACCAUAGCAAUGAUUUGAGUCACUGCAGUGACAAUGAUGAUUGUUAAGCCGCUGUGCCAUCAGGGAAACUCCUAUGAUGAACUUGUUACGACAACAACCACGUUAAUAAAAUAUUCAAUUAAAAAAUAAGGAUUUUUUAUCCUUAGCAUGGUGCAGUAAAUAUCAACUCUGGUCUCAUACUUGGAAAAUGCUUUAUAAUCAACAGAUAACUUUUAUAGUCAUUAUCUAAUUUGACUGUCAUGAUUAUUCCUGAGAGAUAGGGCAGAUACUAUGCCUAUUUUGUAGAAGGGGAAACUUAUAUUUUAUGUUGUGAGCCACACGGGAAGUCCAAGGGGAAACUUAUAUUUUAAAAGAUUGAGAUUUUCCAGUUUGACCCAGCAAAUGACAGAGCUGGGUUUAAAUUUUAAACUUCGAUGCACCUAGGUAUAAAUUCUAUGCUUUCUCUUCCUGGUAUUUGCUAAAGGAUGCCUGACCUGUAUUACCCAGGAGGUGGCAGUAUUCUGUUUAUGUUCUUUGGAAUUUACUUUCCCAUUGGAGAGUCUUUAAAGAAAUUGAAAACUAUUCUUUCAGCUAACAUUCUUGAGCAUAAAUUCUGUUUAGGUGUUAAAGAUAAAAGAUUAAUAAAGUUGGCACCUGCAUCCUAGGAGCUCACCAUCUGAGUGCAAGACCUUGGGCACUAGGGUUAAAAGCCUACAAAAAUUUUGUACAAAAUGCUACUGGGAUACAGAUUUAUAAUGAGCUUUUUGAGGUAGUGUCUUUUUAUGUGAUAAUGGGGUAUGUGAUAAUUUUAUCUAGUACACAGAUGAUAGACCUGAGUAAAUUUAAGCUGUCUGAUUUCCUAAUGACCAAAAAAAAAAAAAAAAAAAAAAA
RNAcentral lists this long non-coding RNA (4918 nucleotides) under Sus scrofa (pig). RNAcentral describes it as "lncRNA (ENSSSCG00050030906.1)". Lineage: Eukaryota; Metazoa; Chordata; Mammalia; Artiodactyla; Suidae. The record is from RNAcentral.